AUCCGCGGCCGCAGAGUUUGAUCAUGGCUCAGGAUGAACGCUAGCGGCAGGCUUAAUACAUGCAAGUCGAGCGGUAACAGGUGUGGCAAUACAUGCUGACGAGCGGCAGACGGGUGAGGAACACGUACGCAACUUUCCUCAAACCGGGGCACAACCUUGAGAAAUCAGGGCUAAUUCCCCAUAACAUUGCGAGAGGGCAUCUGAUUGCAAUUAAAGAUUCGUCGGUUUGAGAUGGGCGUGCGUUCGAUUAGCUAGUUGGUAAGGUAACGGCCUACCAAGGCAACGAUCGAUAGCUGGUGUGAGAGCACGACCAGCCACACGGGCACUGAGAUACGGGCCCGACUCCUACGGGAGGCAGCAGUAAGGAAUAUUGGUCAAUGGACGAAAGUCUGAACCAGCCAUGCCGCGUGAGGGAUGAAGGUCCUCUGGAUUGUAAACCUCUUUUAUCUAUGAAGAAAUGUCCUGUUUCUACGGGAUUUGACGGUAAUAGAUGAAUAAGCACCGG
RNAcentral lists this ribosomal RNA (505 nucleotides) under uncultured Bacteroidota bacterium. RNAcentral's name for it is "bacterial SSU rRNA". It matches the Rfam family "Bacterial small subunit ribosomal RNA", at positions 1 to 496 of the family's 1533-position model. Lineage: Bacteria; Pseudomonadati; Bacteroidota. The record is from RNAcentral.